AAUAAAGUGCCUGAAAAAAGGGUUAUUCUGAUAGGAUAAAUAAUGUAAUUAAAAUUACCUUUAUUA
This 66-nucleotide transfer RNA is filed under the name Phthonandria atrilineata (mulberry looper). Its description in RNAcentral is "tRNA-Ile". The record is from RNAcentral. Lineage: Eukaryota; Metazoa; Arthropoda; Insecta; Lepidoptera; Geometridae.